Molecule: ribosomal RNA, 429 nt
Filed under: uncultured archaeon
Lineage: Archaea
Description: bacterial SSU rRNA
Rfam family: Archaeal small subunit ribosomal RNA
Source: RNAcentral
UUAAUACCGGAUAGAUCAAAGAUACUGGAAUGUUCUUUGGUUGAAAGCUCCGGCGCCCAAGGAUGGGUCUGCGGCCUAUCAGGUAGUAGUGGGUGUAACGUACCUACUAGCCUACGACGGGUAAGGGUUGUGAGAGCAAGAGCCCUGAGAUGGAUUCUGAGACAUGAAUCCAGGCCCUACGGGGUGCAGCAGGCGCGAAAACUUUACACUGCGGGAAACCGCGAUAAGGGGACCCCGAGUGCCAGCACCUAGUGCUGGCUGUCCAGCUGUUCAAAAAACAGUUGUUAGCAAGGGCCGGGCAAGACCGGUGCCAGCCGCCGCGGUAACACCGGCGGCCCGAGUGGUAGCCGUUAUUAUUGGGUUUAAAGGGUCCGUAGCCGGCCUAUUAAGUCUCUUGGGAAAUCUGGCGACUCAAUCGUCAGGCGUUCA